This 502-nucleotide ribosomal RNA is filed under the name uncultured bacterium. RNAcentral's name for it is "bacterial SSU rRNA". It matches the Rfam family "Bacterial small subunit ribosomal RNA", at positions 15 to 507 of the family's 1533-position model. The record is from RNAcentral.
GAUCAUGGCUCAGGAUGAACGCUAGCUACAGGCUUAACACAUGCAAGUCGCGGGGCAGCAUUCCUUAGCUUGCUAAGGAAGAUGGCGACCGGCGCACGGGUGAGUAACGCGUAUCCAACCUUCCCAUGUCCACGGGAUAGCCCGUCGAAAGGCGGAUUAAUACCGUAUGAGGUCACAUGCGGGCAUCUAAGUGUGACGAAAGGUUUAGCGGACAUGGAUGGGGAUGCGUCCGAUUAGCUUGUUGGCGGGGUAACGGCCCACCAAGGCGACGAUCGGUAGGGGUUCUGAGAGGAAGGUCCCCCACAUUGGAACUGAGACACGGUCCAAACUCCUACGGGAGGCAGCAGUGAGGAAUAUUGGUCAAUGGGCGGAAGCCUGAACCAGCCAAGUAGCGUGCAGGAUGACGGCCCUAUGGGUUGUAAACUGCUUUUAUGCGGGGAUAAAGUGUGGGACGUGUCCCAUAUUGCAGGUACCGCAUGAAUAAGGACCGGCUAAUUCCGUG